ACCAAAUAACAAACACUGAAGUCUAAUUCACCUUCUAAAAACAUAAUAAUUUAAAGAUGGAUCAAAUGUGGAUAAUAACACUUGUUUUGGGGCUAUUGCCGGAGGUGGGUUGGGUGAUUUGGUGGUGGAAUGAGAUUUGAUAUAUUUGGCCUAUUCUAUCUAACUACGUCGUGCUAAUUCUGAUACCAAAUUCACUUUACCACCUGACUACUUGGGUCUUCUUUUUUUCGACGAGACACUUCUGUUUCAAUGGUUUUUCAAUAUUGUUCCCCGAUCCGAUGAUUUUAUCAAAUCAAGAAUCGAAAAGUAUGGUGGGGUUUACAGAAUACAUUUAUAUGGAUCUUCGAGUAUAAUAGUGUGUGAUUCUUCUAUUUGCAAACAUAUUCUGAACUUAAACGAGAAUUUCAAGGCUGAAUGGCCAACCAAUAAAGUGUUAGGACGAUAUCAAUCAAAGGGGAACGUCAUGAUAUUGAUUGUGAAUUGCUUCUCGUGCCCAGAUGCACUUGCUUGGGUUAUGCUCAAAGUCCAACCUUGUAUAAUUUCUACCCUUCAAUCAUGGUCUCAAAGAUCUUCAAUCAAAACUUUCUAUGAUCUUAAGAAGCUUAUAAUCAAUUACAGGUAACACUUGACUGCACUUUACGAUAUGUUGUUCGUUUUGAGUAUGACACUCAUCAAAUUAAAGAUCUUGUUAAAGCAUAUGAGGGUUUAAACUUGGAUUUUAGGGCCACACCAUUACAUACAUAAGAAGACCAUUAAUUCCCAGAUCAUAAAAGAGGACCAUUAAUUCCCAGUAUUAGAAGAAAAGAUGCUAAUAAUAAUAAUAGCAUUGGAAAUGGGAAGACUCAACAACAACAAUUUCUCAAGGGGAGAUGCUGAAUUUCUUCAUUACCAAUAAUGCAAGAAUCAACUAAUUUUAAGUCUUUCUUUCAUCGUUUUUUUUAGUUACUUAGUUAGUUAGUUAGUUUCAACAACUUUAUAGUUAGUUAGUUAGUUAGUGAUGAUCAAGUGUUUGAUAGGUAUUAUUUCUUUUUAAUAAUGCCUGCAAAUAAGUAAUGAUCAAUUUACUCAAUAAUGCAUAUUAAUGCUUGCAUACUAUCGUUCUUUUUUGUAAUAGAAUGCAACUCUACCUAAUAAUAA
Amaranthus tricolor (Joseph's coat) is the source of this 1137-nucleotide long non-coding RNA. RefSeq lists it as uncharacterized. The transcript is spliced from 3 exons. Lineage: Eukaryota; Viridiplantae; Streptophyta; Magnoliopsida; Caryophyllales; Amaranthaceae. The record is from RefSeq and is a predicted model, not a curated record.